UGCCUGUACCAUAACCGACACAGGUGGGUAAGUAGAGUAUACUAAGGGGCGCGAGAUAACUCUCUCUAAGGAACUCGGCAAAAUAACUCCGUAACUUCGGGAGAAGGAGUGCCUUAUUCUUAAGGUUGCAAUAACAAGAUCCAAGCAACUGUUUAUCAAAAACACAGGUCUCCGCUAAGUCGUAAGACGAUGUAUGGGGGCUGACGCCUGCCCAGUGCCAGAAGGUUAAAGAAGUCGGUUAGCAAUAGCAAAGCUGGUAACUGAAGCCCUGGUGAACGGCGGCCGUAACUAUAACGGUCCUAAGGUAGCGAAAUUCCUUGUCGGGUAAGUUCCGACCCGCACGAAAGGCGUAAUGAUUUGGAUGCUGUCUCGGAGAGGGGCUCGGUGAAAUAGACUUGUCUGUGAAGAUGCGGACUACCUGCACCAGGACGGAAAGACCCUAUGAAGCUUUACUGUAACUUGAAAUUGAAAUUGGACUUUAUUCGCGCAGUAUAGGUGGGAGGCGUUGAUUAUAAUCUUGUGGGAUUAUUGGAGCCAUCAGUGAGAUACCACUCUUGUAAUGUUAGAUUUCUAACUUUGAAUCAUUAUCUGGUCAAAGGACAGUUUCAGGCGGGCAGUUUGACUGGGGCGGUCGCCUCCUAAACGGUAACGGAGGCGUACAAAGGUUUCCUCUGAACGGUUAGAAAUCGUAUCUAGAGUGUAGAGGCAUAAGGAAGCUUGACUGUGAGACCUACAAGUCGAGCAGGGACGAAAGUCGGUCUUAGUGAUCUGACGGUACUGAGUGGAAAGGCCGUCACUCAACGGAUAAAAGUUACUCUAGGAUAACAGGCUGAUCUCCCCCAAGAGUUCACAUCGACGGGGAGGUUUGGCACCUCGAUGUCGGCUCAUCGCAUCCUGGGGCGGUAGUACGUCCCAAGGGUUGGGCUGUUCGCCCAUGAAAGCGGUACGCGAGCUGGGUUCAGAACGUCGUGAGACAGUUCGGUCCAUAUCCGGUGUAGGCGCUAGAAUAUUGAGAGGAGCCUUCUUUAGUACGAGAGGACCGAGAAGGACAUACCUCUGGUGUACCAGUUAUCGUGCCAACGGUAAACGCUGGGUAGCUAUGUAUGGAGUGGAUAACCGCUGAAAGCAUCUAAGUGGGAAGCCCACCUCAAGAUAAGUAUUCUCAUCACGUAAGUGAGUAAGGUCACGGUAAGACUAACCGUUUGAUAGGCAUUAAGUGUAAGUACAGUAAUGUAUGUGCUGAGAUGUCCUAAUAGACCGAGGAC
RNAcentral lists this ribosomal RNA (1265 nucleotides) under metagenome. Its description in RNAcentral is "bacterial LSU rRNA". It matches the Rfam family "Bacterial large subunit ribosomal RNA", at positions 1639 to 2925 of the family's 2925-position model. The record is from RNAcentral.